Molecule: ribosomal RNA, 492 nt
Filed under: uncultured bacterium
Lineage: Bacteria
Description: partial 16S ribosomal RNA
Rfam family: Bacterial small subunit ribosomal RNA
Source: RNAcentral
AGUGAACGCUGGCGGUAGGCCUAACACAUGCAAGUCGAACGGCAGCACAGUAAGAGCUUGCUCUUACGGGUGGCGAGUGGCGGACGGGUGAGGAAUACAUCGGAAUCUACUUUUUCGUGGGGGCUAACGUAGGGAAACUUACGCUAAUACCGCAUACGACCUACGGGUGAAAGCAGGGGAUCUUCGGACCUUGCGCUAUUGAAUGAGCCGAUGUCGGAUUAGCUAGUUGGCGGGGUAAAGGCCCACCAAGGCGACGAUCCGUAGCUGGUCUGAGAGGAUGAUCAGCCACACUGGAACUGAGACACGGUCCAGACUCCUACGGGAGGCAGCAGUGGGGAAUAUUGGACAAUGGGCGCAAGCCUGAUCCAGCCAUACCGCGUGGGUGAAGAAGGCCUUCGGGUUGUAAAGCCCUUUUGUUGGGAAAGAAAAGCAGCAGGUUAAUACCCCGCUGUUCUGACGGUACCCAAAGAAUAAGCACCGGCUAACUUCGUG